Molecule: ribosomal RNA, 389 nt
Filed under: uncultured bacterium
Lineage: Bacteria
Description: bacterial SSU rRNA
Rfam family: Bacterial small subunit ribosomal RNA
Source: RNAcentral
GAUGAACGCUGGCGGCAUGCUUUACACAUGCAAGUCGAACGGCAGCACGGGUGCUUGCACCUGGUGGCGAGUGGCGAACGGGUGAGUAAUGCAUCGGAACGUGCCCAUGAGUGGGGGAUAGCCCGGCGAAAGCCGGAUUAAUACCGCAUACGCCCUUAGGGGAAAGCGGGGGAGUCUUCGGACCUCGCGCUAUUGGAGCGGCCGAUGUCGGAUUAGCUAGUAGGUGAGGUAAAGGCUCACCUAGGCGACGAUCCGUAGCUGGUCUGAGAGGAUGAUCAGCCACACUGGGACUGAGACACGGUCCAGACUCCUACGGGAGGCAGCAGUGGGGAAUUUUGGACAAUGGGCGCAAGCCUGAUCCAGCCAUGCCGCGUGAGUGAAGAAGGCCU